UCCUGGUCCCACUCAGAGGGGCCUAUCUCCGAAAUGUCCUUUUAAUAGCUUGUGACACUAAUAGAGUGAUAGGGAUUCUGGACAUGAAUAGGAUGCAUGUGAUCCACGCUGGGAGCUGUUGCCAUUAACAUAUUCUGAAGGCUCUGCUGUGGGAGAAACUGCUCCGGACCCAGCCCUGCUCUGCCCACUGCUGACUGCUGUCCUGUUAGGAUGGUGAUCCGGUGUGAUCCUGGCCACAGUGAUCCGGUGUGAUCCUGGCCCUGGUGAUCCAGUCCUUCCUCUCCAUCACACUCAGAUGAGAGACAUCUUGGCUUUUCAUUUACCUAUGCAACACGAUUUGAAAUCUGGUUUUGCAACGAGAUGGUGCUACCCUCUCUAAUCAAAGAUCAGGACUUCUGCUCCCAAGCCUGCUGUUGCUUUGCUGUGUGAAGAGCUGUUUAUCAUCUGGGCACAGUACUGUCCCAUCGAAGAAACAGCUUUUCCACAUUCAGCCCCAUUUAAUGAACGCAAGUUUUGCAAGAUCCAGCUUCAAAGGCAGACCACUGGCAAAGGAAGGGGAAGGGAAUUGACUGAUGUGGAAAAUCGCACACUCUAGGCUUUUUGCACUGAUUGAAAGGUGUUAACCCCUGCCUGGCCAGCAGCAGUGUCUGGGGGGGAGCAAAACACCCUGGUGUAAUAGGGCAAGGGCUGGAUGAGUCCAAACUGUUUUCUUGCAGAAAAAUAGGAUUUUGAAACAUUCGUCUCCCAGUCACUUUUUAUGGAUUGUUUCCAUUUUUGUGAACAAAGGCAAACACGCUAAGAGGAAAAUGGUUUUAACCGUUCAGCUUCACUUUGAAUGUUUCAGAGAAAAAAAAAAGAAAAAGAAAAAGAAAAGAAACCUGAAGACAUAACCCUGGAGGUUUCUUUUACUUAAAACUUUGGAUUGCUCUAUUUGGAGUCCGAAAAAGAUUAUGCAACAAAAAUCAGCAGUUUGCACACAAGGAGAAAAGACACUCAUGCUCAGCUCAGUUAGCACACUUACUCAUUAAUCAUUUUUUGCCACAGCAUUUUAGGGAAACAUAUGCAAUACUUCUCUUAGGAUACGUGU
Long non-coding RNA from Cygnus olor (mute swan), 1087 nucleotides. RefSeq lists it as uncharacterized. NCBI's taxonomy places the organism in Eukaryota, Metazoa, Chordata, Aves, Anseriformes, Anatidae. The record is from RefSeq and is a predicted model, not a curated record. The transcript has 3 exons.